RNAcentral lists this ribosomal RNA (253 nucleotides) under uncultured bacterium. Its description in RNAcentral is "partial 16S ribosomal RNA". It matches the Rfam family "Bacterial small subunit ribosomal RNA", at positions 524 to 776 of the family's 1533-position model. The record is from RNAcentral.
UACGAAGGGAGCUAGCGUUACUCGGAAUUAUUGGGCGUAAAGCGUGCGUAGGCGGCCAAGACAGUUGAAUGUGAAAGCCCAGGGCUCAACCCUGGAAUAGCAUCCAAUACUACUUGGCUUGAGUGUCAGAGGGGAUAGUGGAAUUCCUAGUGUAGAGGUGAAAUUCGUAGAUAUUAGGAGGAACACCGGUGGCGAAAGCGACUAUCUGGCUGACAACUGACGCUGUUGCACGAAAGCGUGGGGAGCAAACAGG